This 204-nucleotide long non-coding RNA is filed under the name Vigna radiata. Its description in RNAcentral is "long non-coding RNA (VRAD_LNC002856)". Lineage: Eukaryota; Viridiplantae; Streptophyta; Magnoliopsida; Fabales; Fabaceae. The record is from RNAcentral.
UGGAAGACUUGAUGAAGAAGAAGCAAAAGCCAAAACCAAGAAAAAGAGAGCCUUCAAAUUUGAGGUAGAAAAGAGCAAGAACGAAAUGAAAGAUGAAGACUUAGAAGAUGAAGAAAAUUUGAGACUCAUGAUAAAAAAACUCAACAUGUUCAUGAAAUCAAAAGACAUAGGAAGAUUAAAAUUCGAAAAGAAAGAAUAUCAAGG